This 402-nucleotide ribosomal RNA is filed under the name Bacteroidota bacterium. Its description in RNAcentral is "Bacteroidetes bacterium partial 16S ribosomal RNA". It matches the Rfam family "Bacterial small subunit ribosomal RNA", at positions 355 to 776 of the family's 1533-position model. The record is from RNAcentral. Lineage: Bacteria; Pseudomonadati; Bacteroidota.
UGGGGAAUUUUGCACAAUGGGGGAAACCCUUAUGCAGCGACGCCGCGUGAUUUAGAAGGCCUUCGGGUUGUAAAAAUCUUUUUUACGGGAUGAAAAUGACAGUACCGUAAGAAUAAGGUCCGGCUAAAUACGUGCCAGCAGCCGCGGUAAUACGUAUGGACCGAGCGUUGUCCGGAAUCAUUGGGCGUAAAGGGUACGUAGGCGGGUAAGCAAGUUAGAAGUGAAAUCCUAUAGCUCAACUAUAGUAAGCUUUUAAAACUGCUCAUCUUGAGGUAUGGAAGGGAAAGUGGAAUUCCGAGUGUAGCGGUGAAAUGCGCAAGAAUUAGGAGAAAUACCGGUGGCGAAGGCGACUUUCUGGCCAUAACCUGACGCUGAGGUACGAAAGCGUGGGUAGCAAACAGG